This 253-nucleotide ribosomal RNA is filed under the name uncultured bacterium. RNAcentral describes it as "partial 16S ribosomal RNA". It matches the Rfam family "Bacterial small subunit ribosomal RNA", at positions 524 to 776 of the family's 1533-position model. The record is from RNAcentral.
UACGGAGGAUGCAAGCGUUAUCCGGAAUGAUUGGGCGUAAAGCGUCCGCAGGUGGCUGUGUAAGUCUGCUGUUAAAUAGUGAGGCUCAACCUCAUAAAGGCAGUGGAAACUACACGGCUAGAGUGCGUUCGGGGCAGAGGGAAUUCCUGGUGUAGCGGUGAAAUGCGUAGAGAUCAGGAAGAACACCAAUGGCGAAAGCAGCUUUCUGGGACGGUACUGACGCUGAGACGCGAAAGCAUGGGUAGCGAACGGG